This 409-nucleotide ribosomal RNA is filed under the name Actinomycetes bacterium. RNAcentral describes it as "Actinobacteria bacterium partial 16S ribosomal RNA". It matches the Rfam family "Bacterial small subunit ribosomal RNA", at positions 355 to 776 of the family's 1533-position model. The record is from RNAcentral. Lineage: Bacteria; Bacillati; Actinomycetota; Actinomycetes.
UGGGGAAUAUUGCACAAUGGGCGGAAGCCUGAUGCAGCGACGCCGCGUGGGGGAUGAAGGCCUUCGGGUUGUAAACUCCCUUCGACAGGGACGAAGCUUUUGUGACGGUACCUGUAUAAGAAGCACCGGCUAACUACGUGCCAGCAGCCGCGGUAAUACGUAGGGUGCGAGCGUUGUCCGGAAUUACUGGGCGUAAAGAGCUCGUAGGUGGUUUGUCGCGUCGUCUGUGAAAUUCCGGGGCUUAACUCCGGGCGUGCAGGCGAUACGGGCUGACUUGAGUGCUGUAGGGGAGACUGGAAUUCCUGGUGUAGCGGUGAAAUGCGCAGAUAUCAGGAGGAACACCGAUGGCGAAGGCAGGUCUCUGGGCAGUAACUGACGCUGAGGAGCGAAAGCAUGGGUAGCGAACAGG